RNAcentral lists this long non-coding RNA (1172 nucleotides) under Malus domestica (apple). RNAcentral describes it as "long non-coding RNA (MDOM_LNC016070)". The record is from RNAcentral. Lineage: Eukaryota; Viridiplantae; Streptophyta; Magnoliopsida; Rosales; Rosaceae.
ACUCUAACGUGUAACCGAUGUGAUCUCUCCGAUCUUAAGAUUUGGAUACAUCUACUGAUCUACACACAAACACAGUUACUUCAUUUUUUGGGAAAGAAAUACAUACACUGAUACAUAUAAGGACUGGGUCCGAAACAGCACACCCCAAAUCAAAUGCAGACACUCAAACAAACUUUAUCUAACAUCAUAAUUAAGUAAACAACUUAAGCCAAAUUAAGUGAAAGUUCCGGAGGAAUAAGCAUAAUUAACGUUACUUAAUUAGUGAUUAAUUAUGACGAUCGUCACUUCUUCAAGAAACCCUGAGCAACCUUAAGGUAAUCCCCAACCCCACCUGAUCCACCCUCCUCCUCCUCCUCCUCAUCCUCCUUUUUACUAGGUUUCUUCCUAGUCUCAUGCUCUCCGCUCACCGGAUAGUUCUCAUCAUCGUCUCUUCUGUCCUUCCCCAUACUAGACUUAUAAGACUCAGAAGAAUUGUGACUUCCUCCUCCGCCGCUUUCACCGUCACCGCCGCUGCCGUACUUGCGGAGCAUAUCCUCGGCCUUACCAACAUAACUCCCAAGUCCUUCUUUCUCGUCCAGCUUGCCAUAGUGUGCGGCACCGCUUAAGAUGUUACUAGCAGCCUCGGAAACCCUAGCUCUGUCGAUAUUUUCGUCGCCCCCUUUGUUCAUCGAAGAUUUGGCUGCUUCCGCCACAAUCUUUGCACUCGACAUCAGCUCACUCGUCGUCGGUGGCGCACGUCCCGGCUUCCCGUGGUGACCCUCCGUCGCGGACUUUCUCUCGCCGCCGUACUGAUCUUCCUGGUCUUUGUCCCCGUAACCUCCAGACCCGUGGCGACCCUCCAUGGCGGAUUUUCUCUCGCCACCGCACUGAUCUUCCUGGUCUUUGUCCCCGUAACCUCCAGACCCGUGGCGACCCUCCGUGGCGGAUUUUCUCUCGCCACCGUAUUGAUCUUCCUGGUCUUUGUCCCCGUAACCUCCGGAAGAGAAAGCUGCUGAAAGCCGAUCCAUUAAUGAGUGAAGAAAGGUAGAAGUGCUUUUGCUUGCGAGGAGGGUUUGCUAAAACGGGUUGAAGGUGAUGAUAUUUAAUACUGACUUGCUCUUGCUUUAUGGGUGGAUGGAUGGAUAAUUAAAAAUAUUUAUGAUUGUCGGUAGGAAAUAAAUCUGUCGGCAAGA